Long non-coding RNA from Periophthalmus magnuspinnatus, 407 nucleotides. RefSeq lists it as uncharacterized. NCBI's taxonomy places the organism in Eukaryota, Metazoa, Chordata, Actinopteri, Gobiiformes, Gobiidae. The record is from RefSeq and is a predicted model, not a curated record. The transcript has 3 exons.
UAUUCUAAAGUAUCUUCACUGGUUAAACGGAGUAAUCAAUGCUCACAUUGACAUCACUGGUGGCUCAGGAGCUUAGACCUAUAAUCAGCUUUGUGUUCAGAAUAGUAUCAAUAAGAAGUGGAGCAGUCUGAUGCGCGUAUGUGGCGGUGUGCAGCGCACAGCUGCUACACAUGACCACACUGUUGAUGUUAUAGUCACAUGGAACCCCGAAGGACCUGACCUAAAAGAAUGAGUAAAAGAGGGAGGAGGAGAAGCAGCCGGCGCCGGAAGAGCUCCAGCAGCCGCAAACAGAGCACCUCCCAGUACAUCAACCCCAAGACAAAUAAGAACAAUAAUGAAGAACUUGUUGAAAAGGGUGAAUCGGACACCUUUGGAAAAGAAUAUACACAUUUAGAAGAUGAAGAAAA